This 343-nucleotide unclassified non-coding RNA is filed under the name soil metagenome. Its description in RNAcentral is "partial contains 5.8S ribosomal RNA, internal transcribed spacer 2, and large subunit ribosomal RNA". The stretch from base 1 to 120 matches the Rfam family "5.8S ribosomal RNA", at positions 35 to 154 of the family's 154-position model. The record is from RNAcentral.
GAUGAAGAACGCAGCGAAAUGCGAUAAGUAAUGUGAAUUGCAGAAUUCAGUGAAUCAUCGAAUCUUUGAACGCACAUUGCGCCCGCUAGUAUUCUUGCGGGCAUGCCUGUCCGAGCGUCAUUUCAACCCUCAAGCCCCCGGGCUUGGUGUUGGGGAUCGGCGAGCCUCCGCGCCCGCCGUCCCCUAAAUCUAGUGGCGGUCUCGCUGUAGCUUCCUCUGCGUAGUAGCACACCUCGCACUGGGAAACAGCGCGGCCACGCCGUUAAACCCCCAACUUCUGAACGUUUGACCUCGGAUCAGGUAGGAAUACCCGCUGAACUUAAGCAUAUCAAUAAGCGGAGGA